Pristis pectinata (smalltooth sawfish) is the source of this 83-nucleotide non-coding RNA. NCBI's taxonomy places the organism in Eukaryota, Metazoa, Chordata, Chondrichthyes, Rhinopristiformes, Pristidae. The record is from the annotation of a RefSeq genome assembly.
GCAGUCGUGGCUGAGUGGUUAAGGCGAUGGACUAGAAAACCAUUGGGGGUUUCGCUGUGCAGGUUCGAGUCCUGCUGACUACG